ACUAUUUUAUUCAAGGGGAACUCCUUAAUGGGGAAAAGUCUAGCCUAUGCAAUAACACCAGAAAGCAGACCUGGCAGAACACCACACAACACGAUAAUAACCAAAAUCUCCAUUUAAAAAUGCUUUCUUCAAACUUGGAGAUCUUAACAACCCUAAAGAUUUUCAAACUGCACUGAACAAGACAUUUAAACUUGGGACACUGCUGUGCCACUUCAAGCAGGUGGAGUCAUUGCAGCAAGUCGCACACACGGCACCAGAGACCGGAAGGAGAACUGAGGCGGUGACGUACAGACGGAAAAUGGUGCUAAACACAGGAAAACAAGAAGGAACCUCUACAAUCUUCCUCAGUCCAAUAUCAUGGAUAUUUCAACCGGUUCCAUGAUCCAUCCCAUGGAUUACCCAUUCAUUUGGUUGAAGGGUGAUAUGUUCAAUCUAAGCGGACCCAAGAUGGAUCUGGCGCAUCAGAGAGAGACACCAAUGGGUUUCUCAACAUGGGCAGCCUUCCUACACAAAGCCGAAGUCAUUUUACAAGACAACAUCGGCGCAGCCAUUGUAGCAUGGAACAGCAUUAUGGCCUCAACUCGUAUUAGAAGUGGAUGGAUACCCUUCAUCACUUCAAGUUGCCAGUUUUGUAUGUCCCACCAAACGCAGGCGAAGCAUCGAUCGCUCAAUGUGCAGCUUGGCUGACUGGCUGUAGUGAGCUUCAUGUAGCUUCAGCGUACUGUGGUCAAUUUGCAUCGAGACUAUUACUCCCAUCUAAGAAGUGAUUAUAUUCUUACAAUACUGCGGCAAUAUAUCAAUCAUUUGGACGCUAUUGAUUGCUAAUUUCUAUAUGAUACGCUUAGCCUAUUGUCAGUAUGAUAUCAUGAUACAAUUGUAAAGUUAUUUUUGUGAAUCUGGCCUGGAUUUUUCGAGAAAAAAUAUUAAACUUAAACUUUGAA
This is a long non-coding RNA of Ostrea edulis (European flat oyster), 941 nucleotides long. RefSeq lists it as uncharacterized. The record is from RefSeq and is a predicted model, not a curated record. The transcript is spliced from 2 exons. Lineage: Eukaryota; Metazoa; Mollusca; Bivalvia; Ostreida; Ostreidae.